RNAcentral lists this ribosomal RNA (630 nucleotides) under uncultured fungus. RNAcentral's name for it is "eukaryotic LSU rRNA". The stretch from base 232 to 385 matches the Rfam family "5.8S ribosomal RNA". Lineage: Eukaryota; Fungi. The record is from RNAcentral.
AGUAAAAGUCGUAACAAGGUUUCCGUAGGUGAACCUGCGGAAGGAUCAUUAAAGAGUAAGGGUGCUCAGCGCCCGACCUCCAACCCUUUGUUGUUAAAACUACCUUGUUGCUUUGGCGGGACCGCUCGGUUCCGAGCCGCUGGGGAUUCGUCCCAGGCGAGUGCCCGCCAGAGUUAAACCAAACUCUUGUUAUUAAACCGGUCGUCUGAGUUAAAAUUUUGAAUAAAUCAAAACUUUCAACAACGGAUCUCUUGGUUCUCGCAUCGAUGAAGAACGCAGCGAAAUGCGAUAAGUAAUGUGAAUUGCAGAAUUCAGUGAAUCAUCGAAUCUUUGAACGCACAUUGCGCCCCUUGGUAUUCCGAGGGGCAUGCCUGUUCGAGCGUCAUUACACCACUCAAGCUAUGCUUGGUAUUGGGUGUCGUCCUUAGUUGGGCGCGCCUUAAAGACCUCGGCGAGGCCUCCCCGGCUUUAGGCGUAGUAGAAUUUAUUCGAACGUCUGUCAAAGGAGAGGAACUCUGCCGACCGAAACCUUUAUUUUUACAGGUUGACCUCGGAUCAGGUAGGGAUACCCGCUGAACUUAAGCAUAUCAAUAAGCGGAGGAAAAGAAACCAACAGGGAUUGCCUUAACG